UACGAAGGGUGCGAGCGUUGUUCGGAAUUACUGGGCGUAAAGCGCACGUAGGCGGCUUUUUAAGUCAGGGGUGAAAUCCCGGAGCUCAACUCCGGAACUGCCCUUGAAACUGGGAAGCUAGAAUCUUGGAGAGGCGAGUGGAAUUCCGAGUGUAGAGGUGAAAUUCGUAGAUAUUCGGAAGAACACCAGUGGCGAAGGCGACUCGCUGGACAAGUAUUGACGCUGAGGUGCGAAAGCGUGGGGAGCAAACAGG
Molecule: ribosomal RNA, 253 nt
Filed under: uncultured bacterium
Lineage: Bacteria
Description: partial 16S ribosomal RNA
Rfam family: Bacterial small subunit ribosomal RNA
Source: RNAcentral